CAGAACUAUACUCUGUCUGCCCUUCGAAAUAUGAAGAUCACUCAAAACCUUUAAAACAUCUACCAAUCAAUAUUUGGUCUGCAACAAAUACUUUUAUAUGGUUAAUCCCUGUUGUGACGUCACCAAAACUACCGUUAAUGAGAUCAAACAUUUAUCCAAGAUGGCGGACAUCUCAUUACUUCAAGUGAAAAUAUUUCAAGAACUAAGC
Molecule: non-coding RNA, 208 nt
Organism: Paramuricea clavata
Lineage: Eukaryota; Metazoa; Cnidaria; Anthozoa; Malacalcyonacea; Plexauridae
Source: the annotation of a GenBank genome assembly